This is a non-coding RNA of Bactrocera oleae (olive fruit fly), 1932 nucleotides long. The record is from RefSeq and is a predicted model, not a curated record. NCBI's taxonomy places the organism in Eukaryota, Metazoa, Arthropoda, Insecta, Diptera, Tephritidae.
GCUGGCAUUUGUUUGAAUUACAAACAAAAAAAAAUAAAAAAAAAAUAUAAAAAUAUACAAGAAAUAUAAAAUUAAACAAAAAUAAAAUUAAAUGUGUAAAAGAAAAAUAAAAUGAUUGAAGUAGAGGAAGGGCUUAAGAAUACAAAGCAAAUGCAGCCAGAACGAAGAUUUGGAGACAGACUCAAAUAUUGACAGAUGAAGUGUAUGCUUUGUGUUUGCGCUGCUUCGCCGACGGACUUAAAUACAUACACAUGUAAACAUUACAUAACUUUAAUCAUGAUUCCAAGUUUUAGAUGAAAUUGCUACUCUCAACUGUGAUAUGCGUCUUAAUAUGCUACGACAAGCUAAACAUCUUGUAUGUUAUUGAACACUUUCUCUACUGAACAAUUUCGGAAAUUCUAGGAGCUGUGGGAGUUUGGGAAACGUAAUUUGCGAUUGGAAAAAUGCUUCUUCGAACCUUUUUUUCGACCCUGGCUGUGGUGAGCGCUCCAUCAUAAGACCAAGUGGAUGUAAUGAAAUCUAUACUUCCUCUUCAUUAAAAAAAAUUAAACUUUUAAAUGAUCAAAAAACAAAAACAAUCAAUGAACUUCGAAAUUGUUGCAUCUAAAUCGAUAAGUUUCCUUUCACUCCAUUAUUAUUCAUUACUUUUUCCAAACUGUGACAGACUUCACCUGAGCAAACAGCAGCACGCACACAUGUAAGUUCGUUCCUAUAUAACAAUUUAUGAUUGUAUGUGUGCAUAUAUAUACCAAUAAGUAUGCGUAUACAUGUGUUUGAACGGAAGUACGCUUUCGAAAGUUUUGCGUGUGCGUGUAUGUGUGAGCGCAUUCCGUUUUUACUUCUAAUAUUGCGUAUUUUUACUCAUCGCAUACACACAUACAUGUACACCAUUACUUAUUAUAAUACACUUGUAUGCUAAUGCAUAACAUAUUAGUGCGCUGUCAUUGUAAGCCUUUGCCUGUAAGUGUGUGUGCGCGCUUGUGCUGGUGCCACACAUGCAUAAUGCGAAAAAGUACCGGAAAACGCGCGAUUACGCCAUAGACGCAGAUACACACACACACACACAGAGCAAGAAGUCAAUACGCAUACACGCUCACUUUGAUUUCACGUUUUUUGUUUUGUUCCAUUUCUUUUCGACAAACAAACGCCGGCACACAGUCAAUGCGUUCAAUUUUUAUUAUUGUUGUAUUGUCACUAAUACACAACAAAUAGUAUUUGUGUUACUUUUUCGUAUUUUUCGUAGCGCGCGCGUUAUAAAAUUUGUUACUCGCGUGUGGCGCUCAACUCAACUGCACGUCAACGCAACGCAACGUAAACACAACACAGCACAGCGCGGCACAGCGCCACUCAACUCAACUCAGUUCGUUGGCAAUGCGAAACUCGACGCGACGCGACUCACUGCGAUUGUGCCUUUGGCCGGCAUCGCUAGCUGGUUAGCUUGCUGGCUGACUUACUGGCUGGCUGCUUGGCUUCUUGACUAGUUCGCUGACAGGCCGGCUGGUGGGCGCGUGGCGGCGCAGACACUGACAGCCAGCGUGGCGAGCAGUGCCAGCGGCAAAGUCGGCAAAUGGGUGCAAAACAAAAUUUCUCGACAGAUAUAUACAGAUUGUGGAUCUGUUCACCUAACGGCUUUUUGUAACAAGCCAACUAUUUAUUUGGCUACAGUAAAUCUACAAGUAUAUCGAAAUGAUCUGGCGGGGAAUACGACGUGUUGCCUGCCUGCCAGUUUUCUCGUGCGAAAAUGACAUAUUUCGAUGACGUUGGUCCUCUACUUGGUACCCUGGUUGAUAUUGGACAUGGACGGGUCAUCAACUGAGAGUACUGUAAUUAGUUGCCCGACACAUUGACCCGGUGUGAAUCUGGUUAAAAAAUUAGACAAUAAGCAGGAAAUCGUCAAAUAUAAUAUAUGCUAAAAAUUUUUGUGAACUAGUU